RNAcentral lists this ribosomal RNA (253 nucleotides) under uncultured bacterium. RNAcentral's name for it is "partial 16S ribosomal RNA". It matches the Rfam family "Bacterial small subunit ribosomal RNA", at positions 524 to 776 of the family's 1533-position model. The record is from RNAcentral.
UACGAAGGGGGCUAGCGUUGCUCGGAAUCACUGGGCGUAAAGCGUACGUAGGCGGAUGAUUAAGUCAGGGGUGAAAUCCCGAGGCUCAACCUCGGAACUGCCUUUGAUACUGGUCAUCUUGAGUCCGGGAGAGGUGAGUGGAACUCCUAGUGUAGAGGUGAAAUUCGUAGAUAUUAGGAAGAACACCAGUGGCGAAGGCGGCUCACUGGCCCGGAACUGACGCUGAGGUACGAAAGCGUGGGGAGCAAACAGG